UCAACCGAUUUUCAUAUUUAAUCCCCAUCUCACCAAAUUAGUUCACGACGCGAACUUGUUGCGCAGAAGGUUAGUUUAUUGUCGAAAAUCAUGGCGUUAAGAUUUGUCAUUUUGCGGGAUGUUUAAUAACUGCGUAAUACUUUCAUCAUUAUAUCUCCGUGCUACUGUUAAGUCGAUUACUGGUUGCACUCGAAGGAAAUGUCACGUUUACUAGUAAAUGUGAUAACUUUUUAUAGAGAUAUAAUAACAUUUAAUUUAUUCUAAUGAAGGCAGAUGUAUUUUUAUAUUUGACUUUUCUCUAAUGGAUAAUCCGUAAUAUUUAUUUAAUAUUUAAUUCACAUAUAAAGAGACGCUAUCACACUCAAGUUUAAAUACGUUCUGCGCAUCGCAUCUAUUUCAUACUACGCAGACAAGAAUAAAGCGCCAUGUUUGGUUUUUCACAAUUUUCACUUUUUCGUCUUAACUUUACCUGAAAAGAUAUAACGAUGCUUCAAAGCUAAACACAUUUUUUCCAACCAUUAAUUUCUCCAUGAGAUUUGACAAUUCCUAUUUGAUAACAGGCUUCAUAAUGACUUUCUUUGGCUUACAACUAUAUCGAUGAAAACGUUCUUCGCAUC
This is a long non-coding RNA of Frieseomelitta varia, 617 nucleotides long. RefSeq lists it as uncharacterized. Lineage: Eukaryota; Metazoa; Arthropoda; Insecta; Hymenoptera; Apidae. The record is from RefSeq and is a predicted model, not a curated record. The transcript is spliced from 4 exons.